CCUACGGGAGGCAGCAGUGGGGAAUUUUGGACAAUGGGCGAAAGCCUGAUCCAGCAAUGCCGCGUGAGUGAAGAAGGCCUUCGGGUUGUAAAGCUCUUUUGUCAGGGAAGAAACGGUGCGGGCUAAUAUCCUGCACUAAUGACGGUACCUGAAGAAUAAGCACCGGCUAACUACGUGCCAGCAGCCGCGGUAAUACGUAGGGUGCAAGCGUUAAUCGGAAUUACUGGGCGUAAAGCGUGCGCAGGCGGUUUUGUAAGUUUGUCGUGAAAUCCCCGGGCUCAACCUGGGAAUUGCGAUGAAGACUGCAAGGCUAGAAUCUGGCAGAGGGGGGUAGAAUUCCACGUGUAGCAGUGAAAUGCGUAGAGAUGUGGAGGAACACCGAUGGCGAAGGCAGCCCCCUGGGUCAAGAUUGACGCUCAUGCACGAAAGCGUGGGGAGCAAACAGGAUUAGAUACCCUGGUAGUCCACGCCCUAAACGAUGUCUACUAGUUGUCGGGUUUUAAUUAACUUGGUAACGCAGCUAACGCGUGAAGUAGACCGCCUGGGGAGUACGGUCGCAAGAUUAAAACUUAAAUGAAUUGACCGGNNGAGACGNGCGAGACGACGACGAGGGAGGAGG
RNAcentral lists this ribosomal RNA (619 nucleotides) under uncultured bacterium. RNAcentral describes it as "bacterial SSU rRNA". It matches the Rfam family "Bacterial small subunit ribosomal RNA", at positions 338 to 951 of the family's 1533-position model. The record is from RNAcentral.